This is a long non-coding RNA of Brassica rapa (field mustard), 830 nucleotides long. RefSeq lists it as uncharacterized. The record is from RefSeq and is a predicted model, not a curated record. Lineage: Eukaryota; Viridiplantae; Streptophyta; Magnoliopsida; Brassicales; Brassicaceae.
CUUCAGCCUUUGAUUUUAAUCGGUAAAGAUGUUUGGCGUGGCUUCAUCUUAAAGUGGAGUAUCAGUUAUAUUCAGACAGUGUUUGAUUUGAACCGAUGGUCAAGGAUAGUGUUCGGAUCAGUCGGAUUCUUGUGGUGAUUUUAAUCCGAGAAUAUUCCAGAAGCCGAGUGUGAUUAGCUUGAGCUCGAGUAUAGUCUUCCUUAGCCAAUCUCAUGGAAUCAAAGGUGAGUCUAGAUAGAUGAUUGAUGAGUAGUGAAUGAAUAUUUCUUGACUGAACGUACUGAUUGUAGAUGAUUGAUAGGCUUUGUCUCUUGAUCAAUAUUGAAUUGGUAAAGUGUUUACUUAGUGUAAACACUUAUUAAAUAUUUAUGAAUGAUCAUAGAGGUUUAUUCUAAACCUUAGUACUUGUUCUCAAGUACUAAUACAUAUGUAUAGUAUUAAAUAUAAUUAAGUAUGGAAGUAUUAAUCAUGUGAAGUCUUAUUAUAAACCUGUCUUCCAAAUUAUUCCCGUAUGAAUGAUGAUUACCGUGAAUUGGUCCUGCGAUAUGGAACAAGGUCACGAAGACACGAUGAUGGGGUCGCACCCUGGAGGCCAUGUAACUGCAUGCAGUGUUAGAUGUUCUAUCUUUGAAUAUCUGAUGGUGAUGCUAACUCGCUAGACUCGUUUAGCCUUUGUGGUUUCUCGGGUCUGGUAUAUAUAUAUAUAUAUAUGAUUAUAUGAAUGAUAUGAGAGACGGGAAUAGGAAGUGAGGUAUAUGAUUAGAUUCACAAUGAUGGAAGGAUAUGCCUUAUAUAUAAAUAUUCAGUUAUGGAAUAUAUUUCCACUGCAU